Colobus angolensis palliatus is the source of this 119-nucleotide ribosomal RNA. NCBI's taxonomy places the organism in Eukaryota, Metazoa, Chordata, Mammalia, Primates, Cercopithecidae. The record is from Ensembl.
GUCUAUGGCCAUACCACCCUGAACGCACGCGUUCUCAUCUGAUCUUAGAAGCUAAUCAGGGUCAGGCCUGGUUAGUAUUUGGAUGGGAGACCGCCUGUAAAUACCAGCUGCUGUGGCCU